AUGCUUUCAUUCAUUGGAAAUGUAGUUAUCAAGCAUCGGUUAGAAGUGUGCCAUUCACUGGGACCCCUGACAAGAAGGAGCCCUGCAUGUCAGUCUCAGACUCCAGUUAAGGAGACAGAUACACAAACAGAGAAUCAGCAAGCAUGUGUAUGCACACUACAAACCAAUGGCAGGAACCACAACUAUUAUUUCUCUGGAGGAGGAGAAGGAUUAAUUGUAUCCAAAUGAAGCUCAAAAGUGUACGUGGCUGUACCAGACAUCUGGUGUGUUAACUCUCAGCAGAUCGGCCCUACAGCAGCUGAUGACAGCAGAUAGGACUCUCAGACAGGAGCAUCCACCUCAGGACUUAUUUAUGAUGCAAGAGUCAGUGAUGAAGCACACGUGCUGCCUUGAAAUGGCACAGCUGUGAAAAGGCGCAGCCUUGGGCUGCGGCACCAUGGCAUUGGAUGGUAUUAAGCAGCCCUUCCCGGCCACUUACCUAAUAGAAGCAUGUGCACUAUUUCCCAGACUCCACAACAGGGGCACAUGAAGAGAUAAACCUCUCGUAGAAAGGAUUCAAAACGGGCUAAGAAAUAUUCAUGCAUCUAUCAGUGGAUGGCAUUAGAUCAAAUCAGUUCUUUUUGUUAGCAAGGAUUAUAUGAACAAUUUUAAAGUUUUGUAGUUUUAACAUUUCAAAAUAGUUUUUUUUUUCUUUUAUCCUUAAAAAUCCACUGAAAUAUCUCCCAGGUAUAUUGCUUUUGUGGGUUGAUUUCAGAAAGUCCCUUCAGUGGAACAGAAGCAAACUGGAAGUUCCAGUUCCACAUAUCUUUUUAUUAUGGCUGACUACAGACUUCUUCAGAUUAGUGGCCGAUAAAGUUCAAAACUGUAAUUUCCCCCAGCAAAUAGGAAUUGGAAGCCUAGAGAGUUAAUAGGGCUUUUUCAUGUCGACUCAACUCUGUGAUCUAAUUUCAGAUUGCAGGAAAUAUGCCAACUUUAGCGGCUAAUUAAAGUUAUUCAUUGAAAAUUAUUUGCAGCCAACCUUUAAUCUCUUACAGCAAAGUGCAUUGAUGAUGUUGGCAGCAUACACAUUGGCAGCAUGUAUGUUAGAUUUUUAGGAAGGAAUGCAAAAAAAAUGGUUGCAUUUGGAUUAUGCAGUUUGCUUGGCUGAAAAGUUUUCAGACUACAAGAUGCUAAUUUUGGCUAAAUUUUGUGAUAGUUCAUAUUUUCCACUUAAAUACUGGAGCCUUUUUUUGAGAGAGGGCUUUAAUAGGAAUACAUUUCUCCCACAUUGAAGAAUAAUUCUGGGACAGACUGGCGUUUGCUUUGCUAGUUAGGAUUUUACUAGAUUUAUUAAAUUCAGAUUGCUGUAGGAUUAAACUGAAAACCUCUUCCGUUGUUGCCACAUUAUGGCCAUCUGGGGUUUAAUCCUAUUUUUCCAAGGGACAUCCAACUCUAAUGUAAAUUGCAUGAAGCCAGGGAGGUUUUAUCUAAUUGGUUCACUGCUGUAGCCCAAGAGCCCACAGUAGGAUUUGGCAACUUGACACAUAGAUUUGAUGCCCGCCAUAUAUUCAUUAAGUGAAUGACUCAAAGAAUGAAUGAUAUUUAGUCGCGAGUGAAGGAGAGAAUGUGACUGUAUUUAGACCGACUGGCAAGCCUAAAUACUUGGUUUCAAAGAAGUUCACUCCACUAGUGCCAGGAACAUUUGGAUCCCAACCACACCCUGUGUUCCAUCCUUUCUUCCUCCUUGCUUUUACUUCCGCUAUUUUAACAAAACAGUUUUAUUUGAACUUUUUACAAAAGUAAAAGAAUUUGGCAGAGCUUAAUGAAUGACCUUCAUAUCAUAUUGACUAAGCUAGGGCUUUUAAAAAUAAAGAACAGCUUUAAAUCACUCAGAACAUCAGUUGCAUCUAAAAGUGACCCUCAAUAAAACAACAAAAAUAAAUAUUAAAAGAACAAUAACGUGUAGUCAGAAAAUUUUGUCUUCAGCACUCUAUGCCUCAACUUUUUUCUUUUUUCAUACUUUGCCCAACGGUACCAGUUUCUCCACUUCGUGUCCUCCUCGCUCAGAAAAGGGUUUUAUAACUCAUUCACUUUGAAUUAUAAAUGAAACGAUCUAUUGCUAUCCAGAGGUAUUACAAUUUUAAAUUGAAAAAUCAAUUUCUAAUUGUGUAAGAGUAUUUUGGGCAUUAAGAGGCUUAUUCAGAAGCCCUGAAAUCAUAUUAUCCAUUCCCUAUAUAAUAUUAAUGAGUAUUAGUUAGCAAUAAAACUCAUGGGCUAGUAAUAGAGGCAAAUGGGCAAAACUAAUUCUAAAUUUCUAUAAUUAGUAUUAAUAAUAUAACUAUGUAUAAUGUGACUGUUUGAAACCGGGAGUGAUCAGUUUGCCUGAACACUCUGGAAAAAUCAUUAUUUCAUAAAUGAGCCUUUUUUAUCAUUAGAAAGUUUUAGUAAUUUUUUCAAAAUGUAUCCUUUUGUUGAAAUGAAGACUGUUUUUAUGUUCUUUACACAUUAGCCAAGUGCUGGUCCCUGGAGUGGAAAAAACCAGAUGUUUUAGGUAAGUAAGUUUUUCUUUUUCUUCUUUGUCUUUAAGAACUGCUUAUUUCCUCAGCAUUUAAAUAAGCUAUAUCUUUGUCUAAUUUUAACUACUGCCCCGUUCCGUUAGAAGCCGUGGACUUCCUAGCAUGUGUUCUAAUUUAGCAAGGAUCUCUCUAACAUGGGUAGCUGCUGACAAGGGGUAAUGAAUUUGCCUCUAAUAAGGAUUGGACUGUCACUCACUUGGUAUGUCCUCUGCCUGACUUCAUUGUUAGAUGUGA
Long non-coding RNA from Callithrix jacchus (white-tufted-ear marmoset), 2789 nucleotides. The record is from Ensembl. NCBI's taxonomy places the organism in Eukaryota, Metazoa, Chordata, Mammalia, Primates, Cebidae.